This 69-nucleotide transfer RNA is filed under the name Rattus norvegicus (Norway rat). It matches the Rfam family "tRNA". Rfam says of the family: Transfer RNA (tRNA) molecules are approximately 80 nucleotides in length. Lineage: Eukaryota; Metazoa; Chordata; Mammalia; Rodentia; Muridae. The record is from Rfam by way of RNAcentral.
GGGGAUUUAGCUCUGUGGUAGAGUGCUUGCCUAGCAAGCACAAGGCCCUGGGUUCAAUCCUCAGCUCCA